UAGGGAAUCUUCCGCAAUGGACGAAAGUCUGACGGAGCAACGCCGCGUGAGUGAAGAAGGAUUUCGGUUCGUAAAACUCUGUUGUUAGGGAAGAAAAAAUGUAUAGUAACUAUAUACAAAAGAGACGGUACCUAACCAGAAAGCCACGGCUAACUACGUGCCAGCAGCCGCGGUAAUACGUAGGUGGCAAGCGUUGUCCGGAAUUAUUGGGCGUAAAGCGCGCGCAGGUGGUUUAGAAAGUCUGAUGUGAAAGCCCACGGCUCAACCGUGGAGGGUCAUUGGAAACUAAUAAACUUGAGUGCAGGAGAGAAAAGUGGAAGUCCUAGUGUAGCGGUGAAAUGCGUAGAGAUUAGGAGGAACACCGGUGGCGAAAGCGGCUUUUUGGCCUGCAACUGACACUGAGGCGCGAAAGCGUGGGGAGCAAACAGG
RNAcentral lists this ribosomal RNA (429 nucleotides) under Verrucomicrobiota bacterium. Its description in RNAcentral is "Verrucomicrobia bacterium partial 16S ribosomal RNA". It matches the Rfam family "Bacterial small subunit ribosomal RNA", at positions 355 to 776 of the family's 1533-position model. The record is from RNAcentral. Lineage: Bacteria; Pseudomonadati; Verrucomicrobiota.